UUCUAGAUAAACUGUGAUCCUAUUCACGAGCAAAUCAUUUUCAUAAAGUCUUCAACGACAACGUGUAUAUAUUACCUUUAACUUUAUAUACAAGCAAUUUAUUUUCGUCAAGUCUUCAAUUGUGCAUAUUCAUUGAUCAAGUCAAUUGACAAAGCAUCGACGAAAUGAAUUCUUUGAAGUGCAUCAUGCUUUUAUUGGCAUUUGUUCAAUUUGCAAAAACAUCGCCUGUCACUUUCUGGGAAUAUGUCGAUAAACCAGACAAACCUUUUGGGC
Molecule: long non-coding RNA, 273 nt
Organism: Xenia sp. Carnegie-2017
Lineage: Eukaryota; Metazoa; Cnidaria; Anthozoa; Malacalcyonacea; Xeniidae
Exons: 3
Source: RefSeq, a predicted model, not a curated record